This 707-nucleotide ribosomal RNA is filed under the name Sugarcane phytoplasma type D. Its description in RNAcentral is "bacterial SSU rRNA". It matches the Rfam family "Bacterial small subunit ribosomal RNA", at positions 708 to 1429 of the family's 1533-position model. Lineage: Bacteria; Bacillati; Mycoplasmatota; Mollicutes; Acholeplasmatales; Acholeplasmataceae. The record is from RNAcentral.
CCAGAGGCGUAGCGGCUCGCUGGGUCUUAACUGACGCUGAGGCACGAAAGCGUGGGGAGCAAACAGGAUUAGAUACCCUGGUAGUCCACGCCGUAAACGAUGAGUACUAAGUGUCGGGUUAAACCGGUACUGAAGUUAACACAUUAAGUACUCCGCCUGAGUAGUACGUACGCAAGUAUGAAACUUAAAGGAAUUGACGGGACUCCGCACAAGCGGUGGAUCAUGUUGUUUAAUUCGAAGAUACCCGAAAAACCUUACCAGGUCUUGACAUGUUUUUGCAAAAUGAUAGUAAUAUCGUGGAGGUUACCAGAAACACAGGUGGUGCAUGGUUGUCGUCAGCUCGUGUCGUGAGAUGUUAGGUUAAGUCCUAAAACGAGCGAAACCCUUAUCGUUAGUUGCCAGCACGUUAUGGUGGGGACUUUAACGAGACUGCCAAUGAUAAUUGGAGGAAGGUGAGGAUCACGUCAAAUCAGCAUGCCCCUUAUGACCUGGGCUACAAACGUAAACAAUGGCUGUUACAAAGGGUAGCUGAAACGCAAGUUCUUGGCCAAUCCCCAAAAACAGUCCCAGUCCGGAUUGAAGUCUGCAACUCAACUUCAUGAAGUUGGAAUCGCUAGUAAUCGCGAAUAGCAUGUCGGGGUGAAUACGUUCUCGGGGUUUGUACACACCGCCCGGCCAACCCCGAAAGUUGGCAAUACCCCAAAACG